UGGGGAAUAUUGCACAAUGGAGGGAACUCUGAUGCAGCGACGCCGCGUGAGUGAUGAAGGAAUUCGUUUCGUAAAACUCUGUUCUAUGGGAAGAAAAGGACUGUACCAUAGGAGAAAGCUCCGGCUAAAUACGUGCCAGCAGCCGCGGUAAUACGUAUGGAGCGAGCGUUGUCCGGAAUUAUUGGGCGUAAAGGGUGCGCAGGCGGCUUUACAAGUUGGAUGUGAAAUAUUGUGGCUCAACCACAAACGUGCAUCCAAAACUGCAAAGAUGAAGUUAAGGAGAGGUAAGUGGAAUUCCUGGUGUAGCGGUGGAAUGCGUAGAUAACAGGAGGAAUAACGGUGGCGAAGGCGACUUACUGGACUUAAACUGACGCUCAGGCACUAAGGCGUGGGGAGCAAACAGG
Molecule: ribosomal RNA, 404 nt
Filed under: Fusobacteriota bacterium
Lineage: Bacteria; Fusobacteriati; Fusobacteriota
Description: Fusobacteria bacterium partial 16S ribosomal RNA
Rfam family: Bacterial small subunit ribosomal RNA
Source: RNAcentral